GACUGCUGAGACCAAGCAUGUCCCAACAAGCCCCAUUUUGCGCUGUGCUGCUCUUGACAGAUGCAUGAUUGCUCUUCUGCUAUGAUUUUGCGCAGGACACUGCAAUGCACCGAAGAGCAUCUACUGCAUUGUGCUCCACCACUUACUUUCAAUCCAAAUGCUAAAGGGAGAACUAUCUUGAGUGCUGGCUUACCUUCAGUCCUGAUGUGCUUGCCAGUACCUGGGACAUCCAACCACUCCAGUAAUAAUUCCAACAGCAGUGGUACCAGAGUUGUUUCCAUGCCAUGCUGCCCGUUGGCACUCAGGGAAGAACAAACCAAAACAGAAAACUUGCAGCUACCACAUGGAGAUGGGCUGGAGAAGGAGAUAGCUGCUGUCACCAGACAUCUUGGCAAAUACCCAUUGUUUCUUAGGAAUGUGCUUAAAAAAAGACAAGGAAGUGGAGAAGAAACAGCUCCUUUUAUUUCCCUCCAAGCCCAUCCCUUUGGUCUUGAGUUAAUGGAAAACAUAUUUUUAUGUCCUGAAAGAUGCAAGAGACAUUUGUGGAUGUGCGCAUCGGAAAAGAAGCCCUGUCUGGCUGGGAGGAGAAGGAGCUGGUGCAAACCUGGACCUUGAAGAGACAGAGGGAGACAUGGACAAAGGCAGAGCUGCACAGUGAAUCUUUCCAUGAGAGGGAAGGGAAGAACAUAUUCUGCCCACAGAAGCAUA
RNAcentral lists this long non-coding RNA (708 nucleotides) under Anas platyrhynchos platyrhynchos (common mallard). RNAcentral describes it as "lncRNA (ENSAPLG00000020691.1)". Lineage: Eukaryota; Metazoa; Chordata; Aves; Anseriformes; Anatidae. The record is from RNAcentral.